GUUUGUGGUUGCUGUUGUUGGGCAGGGUUUUCCAUGGUGACUGUGGUGGUGACAGUGGAAGAAGACAUUGAUGUUGGUCGCAUCAUGGCAGUGUGGGUUGUGGUGGUGCUCGUAGGUUGAACCAUCAUUCAACUUAGAUAAAAGUCCGCUGCUCCAAAAAUGAAGACGAAUUGCAGAGACGCUUUGUCGAAGAGAGAGACGGAAAGAAAAUUUCG
RNAcentral lists this unclassified non-coding RNA (215 nucleotides) under Hevea brasiliensis (rubber tree). Lineage: Eukaryota; Viridiplantae; Streptophyta; Magnoliopsida; Malpighiales; Euphorbiaceae. The record is from RNAcentral.